Molecule: ribosomal RNA, 505 nt
Filed under: uncultured bacterium
Lineage: Bacteria
Description: partial 16S ribosomal RNA
Rfam family: Bacterial small subunit ribosomal RNA
Source: RNAcentral
GACGAACGCUGGCGGCGUGCCUAAUACAUGCAAGUAGAACGCACAGUUUAUACCGUAGCUUGCUACACCAUAGACUGUGAGUUGCGAACGGGUGAGUAGCGCGUAGGUAACCUGCCUGGUAGCGGGGGAUAACUAUUGGAAACGAUAGCUAAUACCGCAUAAUAUUAAUUAUUGCAUGAUAAUUAAUUGAAAGGUGCAAUUGCACCACUACCAGAUGGACCUGCGUUGUAUUAGCUAGUAGGUGAGGUAACGGCUCACCUAGGCGACGAUACAUAGCCGACCUGAGAGGGUGAUCGGCCACACUGGGACUGAGACACGGCCCAGACUCCUACGGGAGGCAGCAGUAGGGAAUCUUCGGCAAUGGACGAAAGUCUGACCGAGCAACGCCGCGUGAGUGAAGAAGGUUUUCGGAUCGUAAAGCUCUGUUGUAAGAGAAGAACGGGUGUGAGAGUGGAAAGUUCACACUGUGACGGUAUCUUACCAGAAAGGGGCGGCUAACUACGUG